RNAcentral lists this ribosomal RNA (881 nucleotides) under Polyphilus sieberi. Its description in RNAcentral is "eukaryotic LSU rRNA". It matches the Rfam family "Eukaryotic large subunit ribosomal RNA", at positions 64 to 962 of the family's 3401-position model. The record is from RNAcentral. Lineage: Eukaryota; Fungi; Ascomycota; Leotiomycetes; Helotiales.
ACCAACAGGGAUUGCCUCAGUAACGGCGAGUGAAGCGGCAACAGCUCAAAUUUGAAAUCUGGCUCUUUCAGGGUCCGAGUUGUAAUUUGUAGAAGAUGCUUCGGGUGUGGCUCCGGUCUAAGUUCCUUGGAACAGGACGUCAUAGAGGGUGAGAAUCCCGUAUGUGACUGGGUGCCUUCGCUCAUGUGAAGCUCUUUCGACGAGUCGAGUUGUUUGGGAAUGCAGCUCAAAAUGGGUGGUAAAUUUCAUCUAAAGCUAAAUAUUGGCCAGAGACCGAUAGCGCACAAGUAGAGUGAUCGAAAGAUGAAAAGCACUUUGGAAAGAGAGUUAAACAGUACGUGAAAUUGUUGAAAGGGAAGCGCUUGCAACCAGACUUGCACGCGGUUGAUCAUCCGGUGUUCUCACCGGUGCACUCUGCCGCGUUCAGGCCAGCAUCGGUUUUGGUGGUUGGAUAAAGGCCUAGGGAAUGUAGCUUCUUUCGGGGAGUGUUAUAGCCCUAGGUGCAAUGCAGCCUACUAGGACCGAGGACCGCGCUUCGGCUAGGAUGCUGGCGUAAUGGUUGUAAGCGACCCGUCUUGAAACACGGACCAAGGAGUCUAACAUCUAUGCGAGUGUUUGGGUGUCAAACCCAUACGCGUAAUGAAAGUGAACGGAGGUGAGAACCCUUAAGGGUGCAUCAUCGACCGAUCCUGAUGUCUUCGGAUGGAUUUGAGUAAGAGCAUAGCUGUUGGGACCCGAAAGAUGGUGAACUAUGCGUGAAUAGGGUGAAGCCAGAGGAAACUCUGGUGGAGGCUCGCAGCGGUUCUGACGUGCAAAUCGAUCGUCAAAUUUGCGCAUAGGGGCGAAAGACUAAUCGAACCAUCUAGUAGCUGGUUCCUGCC